RNAcentral lists this unclassified non-coding RNA (192 nucleotides) under uncultured Ascomycota. Its description in RNAcentral is "sequence contains ITS1". The record is from RNAcentral. Lineage: Eukaryota; Fungi; Ascomycota.
CACAAUAACAUAUGAAGGCUGUACGCGGCUGUGCCCUCGGGCCAGCUUGGCGGAGGCUGGAGUAUUUAUUACCCUUGUCUUUUGCGCACUUGUUGUUUCCUGGGCGGGUCCGCCCGCCACCAGGACCACAUGAUUAAACCUUUUUUUAUGCAGUUGCAAUCAGCGUCAGUACAACAAAUGUAAAAUCAUUUA